CAGUAGGGAAUCUUCCGCAAUGGACGAAAGUCUGACGGAGCAACGCCGCGUGAGUGAUGAAGGUUUUCGGAUCGUAAAACUCUGUUGUUAGGGAAGAACAAGUACCAGAGUAACUGCUGGUACCUUGACGGUACCUAACCAGAAAGCCACGGCUAACUACGUGCCAGCAGCCGCGGUAAUACGGAGGGUGCAAGCGUUGUCCGGAAUCACUGGGUGUAAAGGGUGUGCAGGCGGGGCAACAAGUCGGAUGUGAAACCCCAUGGCUCAACCAUGGAGGUGCAUUCGAAACUGUUGCUCUUGAGUCCCGGAGAGGCUGUCGGAAUUCGUGGUGUAGCGGUGAAAUGCGUAGAUAUCACGAGGAACACCAGAGGCGAAAGCGGGCAGCUGGACGGGUACUGACGCUCAGGCACGAAAGCGUGGGGAGCAAACAGGAUUAGAUACCCUGGUAGUCCACGCCGUAAACGAUGAACGCUCGCCGUUGCCCCGGUUAAGGGGCAGUGGCUAAGCUAACGCGUUAAGCGUUCCACCUGGGGAGUACGAUCGCAAGGUUGAAACUCAAAGG
Molecule: ribosomal RNA, 562 nt
Filed under: uncultured bacterium
Lineage: Bacteria
Description: bacterial SSU rRNA
Rfam family: Bacterial small subunit ribosomal RNA
Source: RNAcentral